CCUACGGGAGGCAGCAGUGAGGAAUAUUGGUCAAUGGACGAGAGUCUGAACCAGCCAAGUAGCGUGAAGGAUGACUGCCCUAUGGGUUGUAAACUUCUUUUAUAUGGGAAUAAAAUGUUCCACGUGUGGGAUUUUGUAUGUACCAUAUGAAUAAGGAUCGGCUAACUCCGUGCCAGCAGCCGCGGUAAGACGGAGGAUCCGAGCGUUAUCCGGAUUUAUUGGGUUUAAAGGGAGCGUAGGUGGAUUGUUAAGUCAGUUGUGAAAGUUUGCGGCUCAACCGUAAAAUUGCAGUUGAAACUGGCAGUCUUGAGUACAGUAGAGGUGGGCGGAAUUCGUGGUGUAGCGGUGAAAUGCUUAGAUAUCACGAAGAACUCCGAUUGCGAAGGCAGUUCACUGGACUGCAACUGACACUGAGGCUCGAAAGUGUGGGUAUCAAACAGGAUUAGAUACCCCUGUAGUC
Molecule: ribosomal RNA, 460 nt
Filed under: uncultured bacterium
Lineage: Bacteria
Description: partial 16S ribosomal RNA
Rfam family: Bacterial small subunit ribosomal RNA
Source: RNAcentral